GGACUACUCGGGUAUCUAAUCCUGUUUGCUCCCCACGCUUUCGCAUCUCAGCGUCAGUUGUUGUCCAGAUGGCCGCCUUCGCCACCGGUGUUCCUCCUGAUAUCUACGAAUUUCACCUCUACACCAGGAAUUCCGCCAUCCUCUCCAACACUCAAGACCCACAGUUUCGAGCGCAGUUCCCAGGUUGAGCCUGGGGAUUUCACGCCCGACUUAUGGAUCCGCCUACAUGCGCUUUACGCCCAGUAAUUCCGAGCAACGUUCGCACCCUCUGUAUUACCGCGGCUGCUGGCAC
RNAcentral lists this ribosomal RNA (292 nucleotides) under uncultured bacterium. RNAcentral's name for it is "partial 16S ribosomal RNA". The record is from RNAcentral.